UAGAAACAUUUUAUUUGAGUCUCGAACAUCAAUCUCAACGCACAAUUUACUAUUGAAUAGAGGCUUUGUAAUGAAGCGCUGAGGCUCUGCUGCCAGCGAGGUUAGAGGAAAUAAUUUAAUGACAUUUCAGAAACAGAUCUGACGUCUGUUGGUUCCACUUGUUAUUUAAAGUUAAUCCCAAUAUGAUUUCAAAGACUUUAAAAGUAAACUGAAGGAUUGUCUGAAAAAAAUCAUGCUGAAAUCAUAUGUGUGUUAAUCGAUUAGUUGAUAUGCAGAAAAUAAAUGCACCAAAAUUUUGCCAACUUUAAAGCAAAAAUAUUAAAUAUUUUUUGGUUCCUGCUUCUCCAGUGUGAGGAUCUGCUUCUCGUCUUGGUUUAAUAUCAUUAAAAUGUUUAUAUCUCUGGGUUUUAAGUCACUCUGGGAAGUUGAGCUGGAGAUUUCUCAUUAUUUGCAGACUUUUUAUUGACUAAACAAUCACAUGAUUGAUCCCCAAAACAGAAGAUAGAUCCUGGCAAUAUCAAAACUAUAAUUAAUACCUCACAAUUUUAUGCCUCCGAACACCAGAUAAGUUUCUCUUACAGUUUACAUCCAUGUGUGUGAAAAUAUGGAUGUUUCACACACAUCUUCCCCCCGACAGCACAGAAGAUCUACACAAUCAGAUUAGUGUCACCAAUUCAGUAUCUGACCAAAUGUCUCCUCUUCUGUUCCUGAGACAUGACGCUGAGUAAUGGCCAGAAAAGUGUUUUUACAAAACAUAAAGAUGUCAUAGUGAAGCUUUGGGUUUAAAAUGCCAUCACUUCAUCAUUUUAUCCUCAUAAUUAGCAUGAUAAUACUUGUGUUAUGGCCAGAAAUGUUUUGUGAGGUCACAGUGACCCUGACCUCUGACCACCAAAGCUGAAUCAAAGUCAUUGUUGAGUCCAAGUGGACGUUUGUGCUAAAUUUGAAAAAAUACCCUCAAGGUUUCUUGAGAUAUGGCAUUCAGGAGAAUUGGACGGACAAUCUGAAAACAAAAUGCCUACAGCUAUCGCCGGUGUGGAGGAACUCAAAACUUUUCAAACAUGUAGUCUUCAUUAGAGU
Long non-coding RNA from Epinephelus moara (kelp grouper), 1077 nucleotides. RefSeq lists it as uncharacterized. The record is from RefSeq and is a predicted model, not a curated record. The transcript has 2 exons. NCBI's taxonomy places the organism in Eukaryota, Metazoa, Chordata, Actinopteri, Perciformes, Serranidae.